AUUGAACGCUGGCGGCAGGCCUAACACAUGCAAGUCGAGCGGAUGAAGGGUGCUUGCUCCUGGUUUCAGCGGCGGACGGGUGAGUAAUGCCUAGGAAUCUGCCUGGUAGUGGGUGAUAACGUCCGGAAACGGGCGCUAAUACCGCAUACGUCCUGAGGGAGAAAGUGGGGGAUCUUCGGACCUUACGCUAUCAGAUGAGCCUAGGUCGGAUUAGCUAGUUGGUGGGGUAAAGGCCUACCAAGGCGACGAUCCGUAACUGGUCUGAGAGGAUGAUCAGUCACACUGGAACUGAGACACGGUCCAGACUCCUACGGGAGGCAGCAGUGGGGAAUAUUGGACAAUGGGCGAAAGCCUGAUCCAGCCAUGCCGCGUGUGUGAAGAAGGUCUUCGGAUUGUAAAGCACUUUAAGUUGGGAAGAAGGGCAGUAAGUUAAUACCUUGCUGUUUUGACGUUACCAACAGAAUAAGCACCGGCUAACUUCGUG
This 484-nucleotide ribosomal RNA is filed under the name uncultured bacterium. Its description in RNAcentral is "partial 16S ribosomal RNA". It matches the Rfam family "Bacterial small subunit ribosomal RNA", at positions 30 to 507 of the family's 1533-position model. The record is from RNAcentral.